UAGCAAACUCAGCAGCAAUUCAAACACAAAUUUAAAUACUUCCAUCUGUAGUUUUGCGUUGCCAUUACAAAACUGCAACAGGUUGCAGUCUUGACAUGUUCCUCAUAUUUUUGGAAAAAGAGUUAAACUAAAUUCCUUCCACAUUCUGAAGUUCAAAAACAAUAUGAAAAAUAUAAACUAAAGUAAAAAUGCAAGGUAAGUUCCAAAAUUGCACAACAGAGACAGCAAAUUCAACUACACAGGUUGUCCAAACUAAGCUUGAGUUGAACUGGCAUUCCAACAACGGUUCUCUUUAUGUAUAUCUAGUAGUCACCCAAAAUUCUGUGGUCAUCCUGCAGGAUGGUAAAAUGCCAUCUUCGUGAUUACCGCCUGUCAGUUUUGCCACUUGAUCUCUUCCCAGAGAAGAGAUGUUUCGGUUUCAGAGUAGGAAUGACUCUAUCGGACUCUCCCCGACGAGCAUCCUUGUUCCUCUUAUUAGCAGAUUUCUUAAACAACUUUAUAGCCUGCUCCUUCUGGGGUUUGUCCUUGAAGCCCUCCCCUGGAACAAAUUCACUUCGAGGUCGUGACAUUGACCUUGAUCUUGCCAUGGAAAGUGAUCUAGACCUACGUUGCUUCUUGCUGGGAGUAAUCUCAUCAACAUCCAUUGCAUCAUUACCAUUGUCAUCUCCACAUUCAACUGAUCUCUCUCGCUUACGACCCCUUGACUUACUUCGAGCUCGAUUGAUUGCUAGAGUUGGAUCCAAUCCCAGAGCAGAUAACUGUCUUCCCAUUCUUUUUGAAGUAAAUUCCUUGUCUUUAUCAAACUUUCUUGGUACUGUGGGCCUGCUCUCUGCGGUGCUCUUCUUCACUCUAUGCUGCUGAAUGAGCAAACUUUUCUUUUUUCGGAUUUCAGCUAAUGCUGCUUGUUCUUCAGGGGUCAGCUCUGCACCGUCCAUCUCAAAAUCAUCAUCUCCUUCUUCCUCUUGACGAAGACCUUCUUCUCUCUCCAAUUCUUCAAGCCUUUGUAAGAUAUCAGGGUCAACAAAGUCAUAGACAUUGUGCCCAUCUAAAAUUUCAGGCAUUAUAUCUUCCUUCCACUCUUCAUUGGCUAAUAGAUAGUGCUUCCUUAAGCUUGCAGAAUAAACACCAGCACCUCCAUUCUCAUUCUCCAAAUCUCUCUCAAGCUUCCUUUUCUGUUUCUCAGCAUCUGCCUCAGCCUGCUUCGCUCUGGCUUCCAACAAUGCCUCAGGUAUGCAUGCUGGCCUCUCUUUCUGGUCACGUUGUUUUGGCAUAGCAACAUGGAAGCGGUUCAAGCAGUCAUUUAACUUUUUCGAUUUCAUUUUCAAUUCAACUCUUUGAUUCAGUAACCUCUCACAAGCUGCAUUCUUCACUGAAAUUACGCCAUCUUCAGUCAAAGUGCUCAUAGUUAACAGCACACCUGCUUCAUCUGUCGCCUCACCACCUUGACCAAUCACUGUCUUCAUAGCUUCAUCUUUCAUCUCCGCAACUAGCUUCUUAUCUUCCUCAGAAAUCCCUUCUAAUGGCUGCAAGUCUGUUUUGUUGCAUACAAUCAUCAACGGCUUGUUCAUAAAAAGUGAUUUGAUGCUGUGAAAAAGAGCGGCCUGUUGUGCAAUGCUAUAGCCACAAGAACCAGAAAUAUCAAGGAAAAAUAACACAGCGGCCCUCAGAUGUGCUAGAGCUGUAAUACUGCACAUUUCUAUGAUAUUACGAUCUUCGAAUGGCCUAUCCAAGAUCCCUGGAGUGUCGAUAACUUGAUACCGCAGAUAUUUGUAGUCAGUAUGACCAACAAACAAGGACUUCGUAGUGAAGGCAUAAGGCUGCACAUCCACAUCUGCUCUUGUAAUCUUAUUGAUGAAUGAACUCUUGCCAACAUUUGGAUACCCACAAAUCAAGAUGGUUCGAGUAUUGGGAUCAAUGGAGGGAAGUCUUGCCAUGUGCUGCCUAAUCUGUUCCAAAUAAGCUAAACUUGGGCCAAUGCGCUUUAUAACAGUGCACAUACGCCCAAGAGCUGCAACUUUCAGUGACUUGCAGCGAUAGAGUGAGUCACCAUAUUUCAACAAUUUCACAUAAUCCUUCGCUACUUUAGAAAUCAAAUUUCUAGCAGUAUUAAUUUGGCCAAGGGCAAGCUUGUAAUGAUCUUUGUUGUAGAGCACGUGAAGAAGGUCCCCAUAGAAAGGAUGGAUAUCAUCAAGCCUGGGGAACUCAUCAAUAAUGGUGGAGAGUUUGUCAUAGAAAUUCUGCUGUGUAUAUUUCACUUUGCGCAUGUAAAAUUGACGUAUACGAGAGAUAGCAUAUCCUUUGUGCACAACAGUAGGAGUUUGACGCUGGGUGCGAGAAAGAAUGAUAUCGACAAAGUCCUUGCCAUUGGGAACCACCGUAAUUUUCUUAAAAUUAUACUGCACCAUCUUUUAUAAUCUGGACUUGCAGUAUAGAAUUGAAAGUGUAUCGAUGGCUGCAAGAGAAGUCGACGGCCUUUGAAGGGUUUUUGGACAGACCAAAA
RNAcentral lists this unclassified non-coding RNA (2500 nucleotides) under Hevea brasiliensis (rubber tree). The record is from RNAcentral. Lineage: Eukaryota; Viridiplantae; Streptophyta; Magnoliopsida; Malpighiales; Euphorbiaceae.